AGGCACUUGCAAAGCUGGACUGCAGCAAGGUAGUCAGUAUUUCUGUUUGGGAAGGCUGGGACGGAGACCUGCAGAGAUGAGUUUUGCAUAUUCAGAAAAGUAAACAGCAGAGUCAGCCUUGUUUUUUCUGCAGAAUUACAGAAACCAGAUAUGGAAAAGACCUAUUAACUCAUCUUUCCAUUUCCCUCCAGGGCAGAGCGGGAUUGCUCCCUGGAGGAGAUUAUUUUUAGCACUCUGUCGAACAGAGUUUUCAACGUCUCAUGACAUGGGGGUUUCUCUUCCAGGGAUUUAGAUGUAUGAAUGAUAAACCAGAUUUUGCCAAAAGAAGGCUUGACCCAGACAUGAAAUGAGGAUCAAAGCAGCGCUAUGAGGUUCAGAAAUGUUUGCCUGCAUGUUUUCUUUUCUCUCUAACAUGUUUCUGCAUCUCUCUACAGCGAGCCUUGCCUGGGAAGGAAACAGAGGCAACGAAGCCCGGUUCUCCAGGGAUUUUUGUUCUUACAGAAAAGAAGAAAUGCGACAAUUGCUCUGGAAGAAGCUUCACACGGGCACCUCACGUCCCAGGGAAACGUGGUACACGCUUGCAUUUAUGGGGAGAAAAAGAGGCACGGCACUGCUCGGUAAGCAGAAGGAGGACUUUUUGUGGCAUCUCUGUGGUUGUCCAUGUGGCCAGUGAACCCAUCCAGGAAUCAGCACCUGCAUACCCAGAAGCACAAGGACAGGCAAGGUGCUGGGCAGGUUCCAGGAUCUGGUGACUCUCAGGAAGUGGCUGGAGGAUGUACCUGGGGGAAGAGGAGGCAGGGAGCUGGAGUGCUGAGCAGGUGGUCCAGCAGAUGAUGUCCUGGCUGUGGGCACUGUGGCAGUGGUGUAAGCAGAUACCCUUCCUCAGCCAAGCAGCUCAGGCAGAGCUCCUGAGGAUGACAUGGAGAUAACACGCGUGGCUCAGCUCGAGGGAAAACUACAUCAAACGCAGCUGGAGAGCUCUUCUUUUUGGAAUAGUUGUGGAUCAGAGGGUCCCUUGCGCGGAGCAUCCCCCAGAGGUGCAGCAGACACGCAGCAGCAUGCAGAGCGGUGCAGGC
Athene cunicularia (burrowing owl) is the source of this 1076-nucleotide long non-coding RNA. RefSeq lists it as uncharacterized. The record is from RefSeq and is a predicted model, not a curated record. Lineage: Eukaryota; Metazoa; Chordata; Aves; Strigiformes; Strigidae. The transcript is spliced from 4 exons.